UACGGAGGGGGCUAGCGUUGUUCGGAAUUACUGGGCGUAAAGCGCACGUAGGCGGAUUGUUAAGUUAGGGGUGAAAUCCCAGGGCUCAACCCUGGAACUGCCUUUAAUACUGGCAAUCUCGAGUCCGAGAGAGGUGAGUGGAAUUCCGAGUGUAGAGGUGAAAUUCGUAGAUAUUCGGAGGAACACCAGUGGCGAAGGCGGCUCACUGGCUCGGUACUGACGCUGAGGUGCGAAAGCGUGGGUAGCAAACAGG
RNAcentral lists this ribosomal RNA (253 nucleotides) under uncultured bacterium. RNAcentral's name for it is "partial 16S ribosomal RNA". It matches the Rfam family "Bacterial small subunit ribosomal RNA", at positions 524 to 776 of the family's 1533-position model. The record is from RNAcentral.